Molecule: long non-coding RNA, 154 nt
Organism: Plutella xylostella (diamondback moth)
Lineage: Eukaryota; Metazoa; Arthropoda; Insecta; Lepidoptera; Plutellidae
Source: RefSeq, a predicted model, not a curated record
AGCUGGACACAUUUUGUCGAAUUUGGAGGAUGUUUACGCUCGUACAGCGUCUAUGACGGGAGUAUCGGACAGUACCGUCUGGCAUAUUGCAAAAGAGGGCUCUAUAAUGGAAUAUUUCUAACUCCUGGAAGAAACAGAACAGGCCGUCUAAAAA